GGGUGCGGUGGCAUGUGCCUGUAAUCCAAGUCACUGGGACUGAGGUUGGUGGAUCAAGUGAGCUGAGGAGCUCUGGGCUGCAGCACGCUAUGUCGAACGGGUGUCCACGCUAAGUUCGGUAUCGAUAUGGUGUUCCUGGGGAGCCCGGGACCACCAGGUUGUCUAAGGAGGGGUGAACCGGCCCAGGUCGGAAACGAAGCAGGUCAAAUCCCCCGUGCUGUCCAGUAGUGGGAUAAUACCUGUGAGUAGAUGCUGCAGUGCAGCCUUGGCAAAACAUCGAGACCUAAUCUUUU
This 293-nucleotide signal recognition particle RNA is filed under the name Oncorhynchus mykiss (rainbow trout). RNAcentral describes it as "Metazoan signal recognition particle RNA (ENSOMYG00000075286.1)". It matches the Rfam family "Metazoan signal recognition particle RNA". Rfam says of the family: The signal recognition particle (SRP) is a universally conserved ribonucleoprotein. The record is from RNAcentral. Lineage: Eukaryota; Metazoa; Chordata; Actinopteri; Salmoniformes; Salmonidae.